GGAGGGAGGGAGGAGAGCUUGCGUGAUAGGCGCCGGCGGCUUCAUCGCGUCAUGGAUCGUCGCCAAGCUGCUGGAUCGAGGCUACAAAGUUCAUGGCACCGUUCGAGAUCCAGGUGAGUAAUGUAUUCAUUAUCGAUACUUGGCCACAUUUUGGCUGGAUUCUAGACGACGAUGAGAAGAAUGGGCAUUUGAAGAAGCUCCCUGGCGCCGGAUUAUCGCUGUUUAGAGCUGAUGUUCUCGACUAUGAGUCGCUUGUGCCCGCCGUUCGUGGUUGCGAUGUUGUCUUCCACACCGCUUGUCCCGUAGCUCCAAACUUUGAGGAUCCAGACGUAAGUUCUGGAGAUUUUCUUCUUCUCAUCGAUCGUACUACUAACAGGCUGUGUUAAAACCUGCCGUGGAUGGCACUCGAAAUGUAAUGGAAGCUUGCCACAAGGAGAAUAUCAAGCGUGUUGUGUUCACCUCCUCUGUAGCUGCCAUGGUAUAUGAUCCAAAUCGACCUCGAGAUCAGAUAAUCGAUGAGUGCUGCUGGUCUGAUCCUGAGUCCUGCCGAAAGAACCAGGUAAAGGAAGAGAAAACGCUUAAAAACUUCUAACUAUUUCUGUUCCAGAAAUGGUACAUACUUGCUAAAACCGAGUCGGAGAAGCUUGUUGCCAAACUUGGCGACGAUUUUGGAAUUCGUGUUGUUGCGAUCUGCCCUGUUCUGGUUCUAGGCCCUAUCUUGCAAUCCAAGAUCAACUCUAGCGUUGGAAUCCUGGCAAAUCUGAUGAAUGGUAUGUAACACCAGCUUGUUCUUUUUCUUUUUCUUUUUCUUUUAAGGAAGCUUUGUUCUUGCGCAGGCUCGAAAACUAGCUACCCCAACUCAUACUAUCCUCUCGCGGACGUGCGAGAUGUUGCCGAGGCGCACAUUGCCGGAUACGAGGAUCCCGACGCCUCUGCCCGCUACUACUGUGUUGCGUACUCGAAGCAUUGCAAGGAGAUGAUCGAGACACUCAAGGAAGACUUCCCACAAUACUCGUACCCAGACAGGUAAGCCAUUCCUAUGGUUCUUAUAUGAUUAAGAGAUUUUUCUUUCUAUUCUGCAGGUGUGAAGGUGAGACCACUCAAGGCCAUCCAUUCGAGAAGAUCUCGAACAAGAAGAUCCUGUCCCUCAUCAAGGAGUUCAUCCCCUACGAGAAGGUGCUGGUGGACACGGUCGUUAGCCUGCAAGAGAAAGGCUUGCUCUGAACGCUCGCUCAAAAGUCCUACAAACUUACAGAUCCGAACUGAGAGAUCAAACGCUUCCAGGAUUAAAAAGCGCAUGUCGAUUCAUCUGUUUUCCGCAUCUCUAAGCUCCCGGAUGCACCGGUGGCCUCUGUUUGGAUCGCUCCACUUGCGUGGUGUUAUGAAAACCGAGUCCCGGAGAAGCUGUCGUGAGCGCCGCACUCAUUCAUCCCGAUGUUGAACAUAGCGGAACUGCUCGAUGCUGUCGAGGACGAGGAAUCGACACAAGCUAUUUGCUGCACCGGAUCUCAGAGAAAGAAAAGGGAUAGAGCUUGAUGAUUUUGCCUCGAUUCCUCGGACCAUUAAAGAAUUCCUCGAGCAACUGAUGGCAGCUGGGGAUCAACAACGAUAUGGGAGAACAACGACAUGGCGCUAAACCACACCAUGACGAUCGUCCUGUGCUUUCCCAGGCUAGAAGUAGUGCCUGAUUCCAUCGCUUCCUCCUGAGAUGUGCCUGGGACGGAACGCGACUAUUCCAAGAUGUGAAUAAUCACAAAAGAAGACAUUGACAGAUUACAACAGUUGUUCAUCACAAAUAUGUGUGCUUGGCCCGUCUCUCUGGAGUCGUUUGUCAUGGCAUCUUACAUCGCCAACGAUUCAGAAAAGAUACCGGGAAUAGGCAUAUGCCAUCGCGUUCCGCCAUCUUUCUUUGGAUUUAUUUACAUUAAAUCUCUUGAUAUAUUGGUUUUGCUACGCAUUUGCCACAUGUUUCCGUUAGCAAGUUUUAGGACGCGUCUUGGCAUCUCUGGAAGCACUUGCUGGCAUCGGUUUAGAUUCCCUCUUUUGGCAAAUUUAGUGUUUUCGGGGCCACUUCCCAGCCCAGCGCUAGCUUGGAGAGUAAUUGCCAUUAUUCAGGAGAUCAUCUGCAAAAUACUCUCUCAUCAGCCCCUGCCAGAUUGACAUCCUGGCGACCACCUCGAUGAUACUUUUGCCCACUUAACGUUUUCGCGUAAAUUCUAUGGUGGUGGCAGUGCCAAUGCAGCGAUUGAAACGUCCUCUUGAGGAGCACAGUGGAACGUGUGCUGUUCCCAGAAGUUGGCAUCGACGUCUACUGUGACUUUUUCUCUUCAGACAAAAGGCAAAGGACGAGGCCGGGUGAAAUAUACGAAACAAAUGAGGACUGUAGUGCUUUGCGAGCGACUAUGGAGGGAGGGAAGAGAGCUUGCGUGAUAGGCGCCGGUGGCUUCAUUGCGUCGUGGAUUGUCGCCAAGCUGCUGGAUCGAGGCUACAAAGUUCAUGGCACCGUUCGGGAUCCAGGUGAGCGAUGGAUUGAUUGAUAAUUCCUGGCUUUUGAUUCCUUUGGAUUUGUAGACGAUGAUGAGAAGUAUGGGCAUUUGAAGAAGCUCCCGGGCGCCAGCGAGAGAUUAUCGCUGUUUAGAGCUGAUGUUCUCGACUAUGACUCGCUUGUGCCCGCUGUUCGUGGCUGCGAUGUUGUCUUCCACACCGCCUGUCCCGUUGCUCAUAAGUUUGAGGAUCCAGACGUGAGUUUUUCUUCUUUCUUGGGAGAUUUUUUCGUUGUCAUCGAUCAUACUGCUGUCAAUAGGCUGUGCUAAAACCUGCCAUGGACGGCACUCGAAAUGUGAUGGAAGCUUGCCACAAGGAGAAUAUCAAGCGCGUUGUGUUCACCUCCUCUGGAGCUGCCAUAAUUUUUGAUCCAAAUCGCCCUCAAG
Molecule: long non-coding RNA, 2930 nt
Filed under: Selaginella moellendorffii
Lineage: Eukaryota; Viridiplantae; Streptophyta; Lycopodiopsida; Selaginellales; Selaginellaceae
Description: long non-coding RNA (SMOE_LNC001615)
Source: RNAcentral